This is a long non-coding RNA of Pungitius pungitius (ninespine stickleback), 1645 nucleotides long. RefSeq lists it as uncharacterized. NCBI's taxonomy places the organism in Eukaryota, Metazoa, Chordata, Actinopteri, Perciformes, Gasterosteidae. The transcript is spliced from 2 exons. The record is from RefSeq and is a predicted model, not a curated record.
AACGGAUAGGUUUCUGGGAUUUUAAUUUCAAGUUGAAAUCUGCCACCUCGGAAACCAAAGAGAAACCACAACAUGUUUCAGGGUGACUAAUCGGGACUUCACUGUGUCGUGGCAGGGAUCAUUGCACUGCGGCUCGGGGACAAUACCUUCAUACGGCGUAUCGGGAGGACCAGCGAUCUCCCCCCGCAGCUCCGUGAAGUUCUCAUCCACCAGAUCUACUUUUAUCUGGUUUUUACUCGUCUGAGGGUUGCGACAAACGAGAAGGCAGCGUUAUUCCCGGUGUCCACGGCACCACAGUACUCACGGCUCCGUGCCUCGCCACCGUCGAGUAUGAAAUCACGCGCUUUUACAAACACACGUGAAAAGUCAAAGGCACAUCAGCUGAAACGUUAGCUGCUUCCAAGUGUGUCCACGGUGGUGCGUCGGGACAUUUAAAUGUUAGCGGCGUGGAUAGCUCGCUACUGGAGCCAAGCUAGCAAAAAGUUGACUUAACUACAAACCCGCAAUAACAACACUUGACAGACAGUAGCAGAGAAACACUAAAUAUGUAACGUUAAUAUUACAUUAGACACCAAGUGUUAAAAAAUAGCAAGUCACGUUAUGUCAUGAACACGAGAGGCUAAUGCUAACAGACGUUGAGAUGUCAAAAUAUCGCUAGCAAGCUAAAAGCUGCUACCUCCCUGAGCCAGUGAGUAAUUAAACACUUAAUUAACGCCCCCGGGCUUCUCAGUUAAGGCUUGAAUUGCCCGCACACGGUAUGUUUCAUGCGGCUAGGUGGUUAGCCACAGGUAUUCAGAAGCUUUCGUUACAGACAGGCGGCCUGUCCGUUGGCAAAGCGGAAGCCUCGGUGUUUCCUGAACACACCCACCUGACAACAAGGGGAUAGUUUCGGCCGUGCCAUCGACGUCAAGCUAAGCUAGCUAAAGUUCUGCUGAUGAGGCCUGACCUAGAGGACCUGUCGAUACAGAUCUCCUCUCCUUUCACUUUCACCGUCGACCGCUUAUUUUCCCCUCAGAGACAAACGCCGUCACCGCCGCCAGCCAGUCCGUCCAGAAGGCACAGCGCACAGAGAGCAGCCCGGCGGAGUAGAGCCUGGAAGUUUCAUUGAUGGUUUCUGGUGCGUUGAGUUGUGUUGUUUUUCAUGCUCGCCUUUUCAGGACAUUUCUCAUCGUGUGCUGAACACAUCGGGUUUAUAUUUCCCACGGCUGGUGACUAUGAUAUUUUAUUAACACAGACGUGUUUUAGUAUGACUAAGGCGUAAUGGAGCUUCUACUAGAUUGUUUUUAUUAUGGAACAACGUAACUAAAGGAACACAUCUGUUUUUCACCCUUCAACUUCUAUCACUGUUACAUACCAACACUUCAACGGAAAGUGCUUAAAAAUCCACUUCCAUAGAAAUGAUCUCCACUGAAUGAGCAACAAAUAUUUGGAUUAACCGAAAGUGAUGAAAUAUUGUACUUUUUAUGUUACAGAACAUGCAUAGAACAAAAUGUACUUAAUGUUGUACUUUUGAUAUGUGUUAUAAUUGGAUGGUUAUUAAGUAAAGUAAGCAGACUUUUGUACAUGUAUGAUACAAUAUUACCCUCUGCAAUAUGUUGGAAUUGAAGCAUGGAGUAGCAUACAAUAAAGAAAAAUAGACAUAUAA